GAUGAACGCUGGCGGCGUGCCUAAUACAUGCAAGUCGAGCGAACAGACGAGGAGCUUGCUCCUCUGACGUUAGCGGCGGACGGGUGAGUAACACGUGGAUAACCUACCUAUAAGACUGGGAUAACUUCGGGAAACCGGAGCUAAUACCGGAUAAUAUAUUGAACCGCAUGGUUCAAUAGUGAAAGACGGUUUUGCUGUCACUUAUAGAUGGAUCCGCGCCGCAUUAGCUAGUUGGUAAGGUAACGGCUUACCAAGGCAACGAUGCGUAGCCGACCUGAGAGGGUGAUCGGACACACUGGAACUGAGACACGGUCCAGACUCCUACGGGAGGCAGCAGUAGGGAAUCUUCCGCAAUGGGCGAAAGCCUGACGGAGCAACGUCGCGUGAGUGAUGAAGGUCUUCGGAUCGUAAAACUCUGUUAUUAGGGAAGAACAAAUGUGUAAGUAACUAUGCACGUCUUGACGGUACCUAAUCAGAAAGCCACGGCUAACUACGUG
Molecule: ribosomal RNA, 497 nt
Filed under: uncultured bacterium
Lineage: Bacteria
Description: partial 16S ribosomal RNA
Rfam family: Bacterial small subunit ribosomal RNA
Source: RNAcentral